Molecule: long non-coding RNA, 1240 nt
Organism: Oenanthe melanoleuca
Lineage: Eukaryota; Metazoa; Chordata; Aves; Passeriformes; Muscicapidae
Exons: 3
Source: RefSeq, a predicted model, not a curated record
GCGGAGCAGCAGUUCCAGCCCCGGGUGUCCCUGGAGCGGUGGCAGCUGCCGGUGGCCGCAGGCAGUGUCCCCUGAGGAGCUGCUGAGGGACGCUGCAGUGAAGAUCCUGAAGACAGCAGGAGGACUGACAGGAGCCAGCAGGGAGAAGCUGAAGGCCACAAGCAGGAGCAGGAGCAGGGAGCUGCUGCUGGCACAGAGCCUGGAUGUGCCAUCUGCUGUCCCUGUCCAGGAGAGCUGCUCUGCACAGGUCCAAGAGCCAGAGGGAGAAGCUUUGAAGAUGGCUCUGUUGGGAUCCCAUUUUCUGAUUAGAGUUCUCCUUAUAGAUAUAUGGACUUGCACAUAGAGAGGGAUAAUUAGAUGGAUAUUGACAUGUGUAGAUUGUUAUUUGUAUGGGAGCAUUUCCAUAUGUCUUUUAUAUUUAUGGACAUGCUAUGUGUAUAUUUGUAUAUAUACAUAUAUGUGUGUAAUUACAUGCAUGUGCAUAUAUGUGUCUAAGUAUGUUGUUAUAUUUGACUUUAGUUCUGUUUCCUGUGUUUUCACUUGUGUAGGUAUCUAUUUGUAUUGAUGCAGAUAUAGGUAUAUAACUCUUUUAAAUGGGUAUAUUGUAUUUCCAUAGGUAUAUGUAUUCUAUUUUUAUAUUUUUAUAUGUAUAUUGAUCUAGUUUUAUGUGUAACUGCAUUUACAUAUGUGUAGAGGUGUAUAGCGGUAUAUUUGUAUUGAUGCACUUGCAUGGAUAUUUAGAUUGGUACAGUGCUAUUUGUAUAUCGAUCGGUUUGGUUUAUAUAUCUACUUACAUAUAAUAUGUAAUGUGUAAUGUUUAAUCUAUAUUUACACUUACAGAUUGUUAUAGUUGUAUAUGUAUUUAUAUGUGCAUACAUAUGUAUAAAAUUCUAUUUAAACAUGUAUGAAGGAGUAGUGUUGUAUAACUUUAUCUGUUGGCUUCUUCGUGUAGGGCUAUUUAGAGAGGGAAUGCAUAUUUUUGUGUUUCUAUAUGGGCUGUAGGCUUGUAUAUAAUAAAUUAAGUUGUUAAUACCUAAUUGAUCUUUGUGUAAUAGUGAGUUGUUGUAGAGUUUUGCAAUAAAUUAAGUUUUUGUUAACUCAAGUUGAUAUUUUUAUAUUUUUGCGUAGCAUUGUUGUACUCAUGUAAUAAAUUCCUUUUUUUAACUUGAACUGGGAUUUGUACAGUUCUGUAUUGUCAGCGCAGGUUUAGCAAUUUGUAAUAAAUGACAUUUUUCAACUG